RNAcentral lists this long non-coding RNA (345 nucleotides) under Solanum tuberosum (potato). RNAcentral describes it as "long non-coding RNA (STUB_LNC011474)". The record is from RNAcentral. Lineage: Eukaryota; Viridiplantae; Streptophyta; Magnoliopsida; Solanales; Solanaceae.
AAUUUUUAUUCAUUAUGUGUAUUAAUACUACACCUCCACUAUCUCCUCAUUAAUUUUCCACACUUGUAUAAUCUUUUCCACAUUCUCAAGAAAUUAAUGUCAUGUUUGAAACACUCUUUGAUUUUACUUAAUCAUAUCAUAUAAAUGGUGGCAUUGUAUACAUUAUGAAGAGACUUUGGCCCACUUGGAAGAAACAAAAAAAAAUUCAUCUCUAAUUGUCUCUAUAUUUCUAUUGGUUUUAUCUUUUAGUAUUAGUUUUAGCUUCAUUUUAUAACACUAAUCACUUUAUUACUCAUAUAUUCUUUUGUUGGUUACACGAACAAAAUGUAAUGUGUACAAAUUCUU